Molecule: ribosomal RNA, 253 nt
Filed under: uncultured bacterium
Lineage: Bacteria
Description: partial 16S ribosomal RNA
Rfam family: Bacterial small subunit ribosomal RNA
Source: RNAcentral
UACGUAGGGUGCAAGCGUUGUCCGGAAUUAUUGGGCGUAAAGAGCUCGUAGGCGGUUUGUUGCGUCGGCUGUGAAAUCCCGAGGCUCAACCUCGGGUCUGCAGUCGAUACGAGCAAACUAGAGUGUUUCAGGGGAGACUGGAAUUCCUGGUGUAGCGGUGAAAUGCGCAGAUAUCAGGAGGAACACCGGUGGCGAAGGCGGGUCUCUGGGCAACAACUGACGCUGAGGAGCGAAAGCGUGGGGAGCGAACAGG